GACAGAGGGUGCAAGCGUUGUUCGGAAUCAUUGGGCGUAAAGGGCGCGUAGGCGGUUUGAUAAGUCAGAUGUGAAAGCCCAGGGCUCAACCCUGGAAGUGCAUCUGAUACUGUUAGACUUGAGUGCCGGAGGGGGUGGUGGAAUUCCCGGUGUAGAGGUGAAAUUCGUAGAUAUCGGGAGGAACACCCGUGGCGAAGGCGACCACCUGGACGGACACUGACGCUGAGGCGCGAAAGCGUGGGGAGCAAACAGG
This 253-nucleotide ribosomal RNA is filed under the name uncultured bacterium. RNAcentral's name for it is "partial 16S ribosomal RNA". It matches the Rfam family "Bacterial small subunit ribosomal RNA", at positions 524 to 776 of the family's 1533-position model. The record is from RNAcentral.